UGGUAACAAGAUGGCUCUAUGAGCUGGCCAUACUCAGUAGUCAGAGUGAAACCGGCCAUGUAAAAACGACAAAGCAUAGGAUUCAGUGUAGGAGCUUGGGCCCCGUGGUAUCAGUUGACUUACAGACUGAGUUCAACCACAUGGGCAACAUAUUAAUCAAUCAUACCUAUGCAAUAAAGUCUUCAUAAAAACUAUGGACAACAAAGUUCUGAGUGUUCAGAAAUAUCAAAUAUGAGCUGAAUAAGUAGUGGAAAGACAAGGAUUCAUCCGUUCCACAGACUACAAACCUGGCCGAUAGAGGGAAUAUUUCAUUUUAGAUCAAAUGAUUCACUGUCAUCUUUGUCUGAUAUUACAACAUAGUGACCACACAACUAUCCUCAAUGGUAUUUGACUACAUGGAUUCUGUAAAAAGAUGAAGCUUAAGAACACUAUUUUUUUUCAAGUGCAAUAUACUGUAGUCAUAAGAUGAAUGGGGUCUUGUCCAUAUAUCUACAUGAAAUUUAGAUAAAGCAAGCAAUGUGAAGAACACAUAAUCUCACAUUUUGCAUGUCACACUAUAAAUUCUAUACCAGGUUGUACUUCAUUUUUGCCCUGUUUUUCUCUACCAAAGGGAAACAAAUGAGGAGAGUUCACCAUAUUUGUUUAUUUAUUUAACAUUUGAAAAUCAUAAUCACAGAGUUGAACUUCAUAUUCCUUGGUGUGCUUCAUGUAGCACACCCAAGAUAUAGGUGAGUGGUGGCUUUUUUAUAGGAGAAAUUACAAAGCUUUUUUUCCUACAUCUGAAAACUCACAUCUGAAGUUUUAAAAUGUGUACCUCUCUAAAAGAUACAAUUGCUUUGUCCUCACCUGUGUGAUGAGGUUAGAUGUUGCCAUUCUGUGAAAAGCAAAACCUCAUACCAGAUGUAUUUUGAAUGAAUCCUUGAUUCACAAUGGAAGUUGCUCACAGCUAAAAUGAAAUAUGUGUUGCCUUCUCUCUAGUUUGUUUUCUCAGAUUUCUAAACACAAAGACAAAAAAGGACAGAAAACACUUUGUAUUUGCUAUAACCUUGAGAAUCAGUCCUAAGAGUUAGAUGUCAAAUUGUUGAAUUACUUG
Molecule: long non-coding RNA, 1093 nt
Filed under: Homo sapiens (human)
Lineage: Eukaryota; Metazoa; Chordata; Mammalia; Primates; Hominidae
Description: non-protein coding lnc-VAV3-1:3
Source: RNAcentral